GAUGAACGCUGGCGGCGUGCCUAAUACAUGCAAGUCGAGCGAACAGACGAGGAGCUUGCUCCUCUGACGUUAGCGGCGGACGGGUGAGUAACACGUGGAUAACCUACCUAUAAGACUGGGAUAACUUCGGGAAACCGGAGCUAAUACCGGAUAAUAUAUUGAACCGCAUGGUUCAAUAGUGAAAGACGGUUUUGCUGUCACUUAUAGAUGGAUCCGCGCCGCAUUAGCUAGUUGGUAAGGUAACGGCUUACCAAGGCGACGAUGCGUAGCCGACCUGAGAGGGGGAUCGGCCACAAUGGAACGGAGACACGGGCCAGACUCCUACGGGAGGCAGCAGGAGGGAAUCUUCCGCAAUGGGGGAAAGCCGGAAGGGGGAACGCCGCGGGAGUGAUGAAGGGUUUCGGAUCGGAAAACUCCGUUUUUAGGGAAAAAAAAAUGGGUAAGUAAAUAUGCACGUCUUGGCGGGAACCAAACAAAAAGCCACGGCUAAAUACGUG
Molecule: ribosomal RNA, 497 nt
Filed under: uncultured bacterium
Lineage: Bacteria
Description: partial 16S ribosomal RNA
Rfam family: Bacterial small subunit ribosomal RNA
Source: RNAcentral